GAUGAACGCUGGCGGCGUGCCUAAUACAUGCAAGUCGAGCGAACAGACGAGGAGCUUGCUCCUCUGACGUUAGCGGCGGACGGGUGAGUAACACGUGGAUAACCUACCUAUAAGACUGGGAUAACUUCGGGAAACCGGAGCUAAUACCGGAUAAUAUAUUGAACCGCAUGGUUCAAUAGUGAAAGACGGUUUUGCUGUCACUUAUAGAUGGAUCCGCGCCGCAUUAGCUAGUUGGUAAGGUAACGGCUUACCGAGGCAACGAUGCGUAGCCGACCUGAGAGGGUGAUCGGCCACACUGGAACUGAGACACGGUCCAGACUCCUACGGGAGGCAGCAGUAGGGAAUCUUCCGCAAUGGGCGAAAGCCUGACGGAGCAACGCCGCGUGAGUGAUGAAGGUCUUCGGAUCGUAAAACUCUGUUAUUAGGGAAGAACAAAUGUGUAAGUAACUAUGCACGUCUUGGCGGUACCUAAUCAGAAAGCCACGGCUAACUACGUG
Molecule: ribosomal RNA, 497 nt
Filed under: uncultured bacterium
Lineage: Bacteria
Description: partial 16S ribosomal RNA
Rfam family: Bacterial small subunit ribosomal RNA
Source: RNAcentral